This 75-nucleotide transfer RNA is filed under the name Gaeumannomyces tritici R3-111a-1. Its description in RNAcentral is "tRNA-Tyr (GTA) (tRNA-Tyr-GTA-1-1)". It matches the Rfam family "tRNA". From Rfam's summary of the family: Transfer RNA (tRNA) molecules are approximately 80 nucleotides in length. Their secondary structure includes four short double-helical elements and three loops (D, anti-codon, and T loops). Lineage: Eukaryota; Fungi; Ascomycota; Sordariomycetes; Magnaporthales; Magnaporthaceae. The record is from RNAcentral.
CUCUCCUUGGUGUAGUUGGUUUAUCACGUUCGACUGUAAAUCGAAAGGUCCCUAGUUCGAUUCUGGGAGGAGAGA